This is a long non-coding RNA of Plectropomus leopardus (leopard coralgrouper), 333 nucleotides long. RefSeq lists it as uncharacterized. Lineage: Eukaryota; Metazoa; Chordata; Actinopteri; Perciformes; Serranidae. The record is from RefSeq and is a predicted model, not a curated record.
UUCAAAGUUCAGCCGCUGGAUUAAAGAUCUAUCCAUAACUCCACCUCUGACAGAGAUUACCAACGUUAUUAAAGGGAGCUGCUCCUCAUAUACGGAUAUCGCCAUGUUGCAUCACCGUGUUUCUACAGUAGCCCAGAAAGGACACACCAAACACUGGCUCCAGGUGGUUACAGCGAGGCCCUCUGGGAUAAUGAGACCUCAGCUCUGUGGUGGCCCUGAAGACUUCGGCCCCAUCAGUGUCACGUUAACGGUUUACUACAGAAAUAGAAACUGGGCAGAGAUGAAAGAGGAGUUGGCGGAGGAGGCUGUUGGCGGUAAAAACACCAUAAAGGC